Molecule: ribosomal RNA, 253 nt
Filed under: uncultured bacterium
Lineage: Bacteria
Description: partial 16S ribosomal RNA
Rfam family: Bacterial small subunit ribosomal RNA
Source: RNAcentral
UACGGAGGGCGCGAGCGUUAAUCGGAAUUACUGGGCGUAAAGCGCGCGUAGGCUGUUGUGUAAGUUGGGGGUGAAAUCCCACGGCUCAACCGUGGAACAGCCCUUGAUACUGCGCGACUUGAAUCCGGGAGAGGGUGGCGGAAUUCCAGGUGUAGGAGUGAAAUCCGUAGAUAUCUGGAGGAACAUCAGUGGCGAAGGCGGCCAUCUGGACCGGUAUUGACGCUGAGGCGCGAAAGCGUGGGGAGCAAACAGG